CCUACGGGAGGCAGCAGUGAGGAAUAUUGGUCAAUGGGCGGAAGCCUGAACCAGCCAAGUAGCGUGAAGGAUGACUGCCCUAUGGGUUGUAAACUUCUUUUAUAUAGGAAUAAAAUGUUCCACGUGUGGGAUUUUGUAUGUACCAUAUGAAUAAGGAUCGGCUAACUCCGUGCCAGCAGCCGCGGUAAUACGGAGGAUCCGAGCGUUAUCCGGAUUUAUUGGGUUUAAAGGGAGCGUAGGUGGAUUGUUAAGUCAGUUGUGAAAGUUUGCGGCUCAACCGUAAAAGUGCAGUUGAAACUGGCAGUCUUGAGUACAGUAGAGGUGGGCGGAAUUCGUGGUGUAGCGGUGAAAUGCUUAGAUAUCACGAAGAACUCCGAUUGCGAAGGCAGCUCACUGGACUGCAACUGACACUGAGGCUCGAAAGUGUGGGUAUCAAACAGGAUUAGAUACCCGGGUAGUC
RNAcentral lists this ribosomal RNA (460 nucleotides) under uncultured bacterium. RNAcentral's name for it is "partial 16S ribosomal RNA". It matches the Rfam family "Bacterial small subunit ribosomal RNA", at positions 338 to 795 of the family's 1533-position model. The record is from RNAcentral.